RNAcentral lists this ribosomal RNA (600 nucleotides) under Chroococcales cyanobacterium LEGE 06019. RNAcentral's name for it is "bacterial SSU rRNA". It matches the Rfam family "Bacterial small subunit ribosomal RNA", at positions 98 to 734 of the family's 1533-position model. The record is from RNAcentral. Lineage: Bacteria; Bacillati; Cyanobacteriota; Cyanophyceae; Chroococcales.
UCGGACGGGUGAGUAACGCGUGAGAAUCUGCCUCUUAGUCGGGGACAACAGUUGGAAACGACUGCUAAUACCGGAUGAGCCGAAAGGUAAAAGAUUUAUCGCUAAGAGAGGAGCUCGCGUCUGAUUAGCUAGAUGGUGAGGUAAAGGCUUACCAUGGCGACGAUCAGUAGCUGGUCUGAGAGGAUGAGCAGCCACACUGGGACUGAGACACGGCCCAGACUCCUACGGGAGGCAGCAGUGGGGAAUUUUCCGCAAUGGGCGCAAGCCUGACGGAGCAAUACCGCGUGGGGGAGGAAGGCUCUUGGGUUGUAAACCUCAAAACUUAGGGAAGAAAAAAAUGACGGUACCUAAUAUAAGCAUCGGCUAACUCCGUGCCAGCAGCCGCGGUAAUACGGAGGAUGCAAGCGUUAUCCGGAAUCAUUGGGCGUAAAGCGUCCGUAGGUGGCAUUUCAAGUCUGCUGUCAAAGACCGAAGCUCAACUUCGGGCCGGCGGUGGAAACUGAAAAGCUAGAGUGAAGUAGGGGUAGAGGGAAUUCCUAGUGUAGCGGUGAAAUUCGUAGAGAUUAGGAAGAACACCAGUGGCGAAGGCGCUCUACUGAC